AACGAACGCUGGCGGCAUGCCUAACACAUGCAAGUCGAACGUGAUCCGGGGCUUGCUCCGGUGAAAGUGGCGGACGGGUGAGUAACGCGUGGGAACCUGCCCUUUGGUCGGGGAUAACUGCGGGAAACUGCGGCUAAUACCCGAUGUACCCGAGAGGGGAAAGAUUUAUCGCCGAAGGAUGGGCCCGCGUCGGAUUAGGUAGUUGGUGGGGUAACGGCCUACCAAGCCUUCGAUCCGUAGCUGGUCUGAGAGGAUGAUCAGCCACACUGGGACUGAGAUACGGCCCAGACUCCUACGGGAGGCAGCAGUGGGGAAUAUUGGACAAUGGGCGCAAGCCUGAUCCAGCAAUGCCGCGUGAGUGAAGAAGGCCUUAGGGUUGUAAAGCUCUUUCGGCGGGGACGAUGAUGACGGUACCCGCAGAAGAAGCCCCGGCUAACUCCGUGCCAGCAGCCGCGGUAAGGCACGACUGU
RNAcentral lists this ribosomal RNA (470 nucleotides) under uncultured bacterium. RNAcentral's name for it is "bacterial SSU rRNA". It matches the Rfam family "Bacterial small subunit ribosomal RNA", at positions 29 to 532 of the family's 1533-position model. The record is from RNAcentral.